ACCUGGUUGGAUUUGUGGCUAUUUUUCUAAGUGUGUGCAUAUUUGUGUUACAAGUAUGGAAAUCUCUAAUGAAUAGACAAGAGGCACAAAUCCAACCAGGUAAAAGGAAUGAGAAAAAUCGAAAAACAAUGUCACACAAUCUUGCCUGGUUGAUGAAAUUUGAUCACUAAAUUAACAGUUCAACAACCAUGUCCCCGCCCUUUGAACAUCAUUGAAGUUUUCUGCCAAAUUCUUUUUCUCAGCUUCUAUCCCUGGUCCAUUGCUUGGCCAUGCAAGAAUUGGUGUUCACCACUUUCACCAUCAGAUGCAUCUGCAAGCCUUGCAAUUGCCUCGACAAGUGCCUGUUCAUGCUCUUUCAGCAUCCUUUUUGCCUUCUCAAGUUCAUGGGGAUCAGGAUGACUUAAAGCAAAAACCUUCUCCACCUCCUGAACUAGUGUCUCUGUGUUGAAUAAUUCAAUGUCAUCAGAAACUUUCUUUGUAAAACCAUUCUGUGUUGGCAGGAAUUCUCUCCUGGAUUGACCCUUUAUGGAUCCCCUCCCUCUUCCAACACUGGGAUAGCCAGCAUGGUUCAUGGAUUUCUUGAUUCCACGGCCCGGCCCACCAUGGACACCACAAUGAGAAAUUCUUGGAUCCUCACCUUCCCAUUGGAUAUCCUCUGGAGAUAUCUCUUUGAGGUUAACCCAUUCCCAUGUCUCAUUAGCUGUACUUAUAUCAUAGACUAGAGCAUGUCGGCCCUCAACAGGGUUAUAAUCGGUUAUGACAGCCUCAUAAAAGUUGUUGUCCUCCGGCCAUCUUGUCCACACUUUCCUUCCAAUUAAUGGAUCAGAAGUAGUUGCUUCAGCAUGUUCAUUUGCAGCAAGGGCUCCAGAAGCGAUGCGGCUAACAUAAUGAUGGUUUCCAGCAGGACCUGUAGAAGGGUACUGCAUAUACUUCAUUGAAGGCAUUGGUUGACCCUGCGUUUGGGAUGUCUUCUGUUUUUUACGGGAGCCUGAAACACUUGGACUGGGUACAAGAUCAUGAACUGGCUGUGAUGCACUGCUCCUGGCAGCUUGGUGUCCACCUGCCUGUCUCCACUCCCUGAUCCUUCUAAUGAUCUCAUCCCCAUUAACUCUGGUCAGAAGCUCUCUGUGUUGAUCAUCUGAUACUCUGAGCUCUUUCCUAAGUUCUGUUAUUAAACCCUCCUUCUCCCAAGAAAUGGCAUCAGACUGAGCCUUAAAAGCACGCAAUACAGCACUGUAAGCUUCUUGUUCAAGUUGACGAAUUUGAGCCAUGGCUCCAUUAUUGCCAAUUGCAAUGCUCUAGAAUAUGUGGUAGAACCAACAGCAGAUCUUCCGUUUCCUACAAUUCUUUCUCCUUUUGGAAUUGUAUUUCGAUGUGAUGGAGGCAGAUCAUCAUCAGUACCGCUACUAUCUGAAAGUUCAUAGUCCAUAAGAAGAACCACCAGAAGGCUGCUCAGUUUCUAAAGCAUUGCAAUUGGCAAUAAUGGAGCCAUACAGAUACAGAUGAAGAUAUGAAGAGAGAGAGAGAGAGAGAGAGAGAGAGAAGGUGGACUUGUGAAGAGAUUUAUGGGAUCUCAGUAUUGAUGAAGGUGCAGAAAGUGAGAGGGGUUUUGCAGAGAGGAGGGAGACUAAUCGGUAGGAGCGAGGUACAAGCCGAG
This 1657-nucleotide unclassified non-coding RNA is filed under the name Hevea brasiliensis (rubber tree). The record is from RNAcentral. Lineage: Eukaryota; Viridiplantae; Streptophyta; Magnoliopsida; Malpighiales; Euphorbiaceae.